GCGUAAGCGCGCGCAGGUGGUUUCUUAAGUCUGAUGUGAAAGCCCACGGCUCAACCGUGGAGGGUCAUUGGAAACUGGGAGACUUGAGUGCAGAAGAGGAAAGUGGAAUUCCAUGUGUAGCGGUGAAAUGCGUAGAGAUAUGGAGGAACACCAGUGGCGAAGGCGACUUUCUGGUCUGUAACUGACACUGAGGCGCGAAAGCGCGGGGAGCAAACAGGAUUAGAUACCCUGGUAGUC
This 237-nucleotide ribosomal RNA is filed under the name Bacillus cereus. Its description in RNAcentral is "partial 16S ribosomal RNA". It matches the Rfam family "Bacterial small subunit ribosomal RNA", at positions 563 to 795 of the family's 1533-position model. Lineage: Bacteria; Bacillati; Bacillota; Bacilli; Caryophanales; Bacillaceae. The record is from RNAcentral.